CUGAAUCGAGGACUGACAUCCAGUAAUCUCAAUUAUCCUCUUCCAUUCUAUAGCUGAUGUUGGGGAAAAAAUAGAAAAUUCUCCCAUGGUCUUUUUUAAACACUAUUUUUUAACAACCAGCUUAAGAAAAAAUAAAUAUAAACCUGUCUUUUUUCUGUCUCUUCUCAAGUUCGGCUUCCAGUGCCCUGUUCUUCGCUGUCAGACUGUUCUUCUCUAACUGCAGGCUCUUUCUCUGCAUUUGCAGGACUGCCAACUUUUCCAUCAGCUCUUCCAUCUCAGCACGUUCUUUCUCUUCUUCCUUCUGCAAACGACUGACAGACAAACCCAGCACAGGCUUGGAUCAGGACAAUGAGGCAGGGCCAGGUAGUGACAACAGCCCAGCCCUCAGCACCUGGGUGGGUCAUCUGAGAGGCCUGUGCCUCCCCAGUCCCUGGAGGAUGUGGGCUGGACUCCUGGAGGAAGGACAGACAGCAGACAUGGCCUGGCUGGGUACACGCUGCUUCGAAGUGUCUAUUUCCUGAAAACAAAAACAUUCAUUUACUCUACCACAGAACCAUCAUGAAAAUCAGGAUAGCAACAAAGGCUCACGGGGGCAGUGAAUGACAGAUAUACGGGUAUAAAUGAAUAAAAGUUACUAAGUUUUUAAACACUGAAGAGUC
Talpa occidentalis (Iberian mole) is the source of this 659-nucleotide long non-coding RNA. RefSeq lists it as uncharacterized. NCBI's taxonomy places the organism in Eukaryota, Metazoa, Chordata, Mammalia, Eulipotyphla, Talpidae. The transcript is spliced from 3 exons. The record is from RefSeq and is a predicted model, not a curated record.